UACAGAGACUGCAAGCGUUAUUCGGAUUCACUGGGCGUAAAGGGUGCGCAGGCGGCCGUGUGUGUGAGGCGUGAAAGCCUGGGGCUUAACCCCGGAAUUGCACCUCAAACUACAUGGCUAGAGCAUUGGAGAGGGUAGCGGAAUUCACGGUGUAGCAGUGAAAUGCGUAGAUAUCGUGAGGAACACCAGAGGCGAAGGCGGCUACCUGGACAAUUGCUGACGCUCAGGCACGAAAGCGUGGGGAGCAAAAGGG
This 253-nucleotide ribosomal RNA is filed under the name uncultured bacterium. RNAcentral's name for it is "partial 16S ribosomal RNA". It matches the Rfam family "Bacterial small subunit ribosomal RNA", at positions 524 to 776 of the family's 1533-position model. The record is from RNAcentral.